GAUGAAGAACGCAGCGAAAUGCGAUAAGUAAUGUGAAUUGCAGAAUUCAGUGAAUCAUCGAAUCUUUGAACGCACAUUGCGCCCCUUGGUAUUCCAUGGGGCAUGCCUGUUCGAGCGUCAUUUGUACCUUCAAGCUCUGCUUGGUGUUGGGUGUUUGUCCUUGCUCUAGUGGCGGGACUCGCCUUAAAGUAAUUGGCAGCCAGUGUUUUGGUUUUGAAGCGCAGCACAAGUCGCGAUUCAAGUCUAUACGCUAGUUUCCACAAGUCUUUUAUCACUUUUGACCUCGGAUCAGGUAGGGAUACCCGCUGAACUUAAGCAUAUCAAUAAGCGGAGGA
Molecule: unclassified non-coding RNA, 335 nt
Filed under: soil metagenome
Description: partial contains 5.8S ribosomal RNA, internal transcribed spacer 2, and large subunit ribosomal RNA
Rfam family: 5.8S ribosomal RNA (bases 1-120)
Source: RNAcentral